CUGCGAUGAUGACUGACUUAGGACACUUUUGAUGAAUUCAUGAUACGAAAUAAAUGUUGCGUUUUUUCUGAGCAGC
Molecule: small nucleolar RNA, 76 nt
Organism: Puntigrus tetrazona (Sumatra barb)
Lineage: Eukaryota; Metazoa; Chordata; Actinopteri; Cypriniformes; Cyprinidae
Product: small nucleolar RNA SNORD58
Exons: 1
Source: RefSeq, a predicted model, not a curated record